CGAAUGGGGAAACCCCGCUGGGCGGCGUGCCGACCUAGUGACUCCCGCCUGAAUAUAUAGGGCGGGUAGAGGGAACGUGGGGAAGUGAAACAUCUCAGUACCCGUAGGAAAGGACAUCAACCGAGACUCCCGUAGUAGUGGCGAGCGAACCGGGACCAGGCCAGUGCUCUUGUGAAAUAAAGACGAACGAUCUGGAAAGGUCGGCCAUAGUGGGUGAAAGCCCCGUAGUCAUCAAACAGCAAGAGACUCGAGUAGGGCGGGACACGUGAAAUCCUGUCUGAAUAUGGGGGGACCAUCCUCCAAGGCUAAAUACUCCUGACUGACCGAUAGUGAACCAGUACCGUGAGGGAAAGGCGAAAAGAACCCCGGGAGGGGAGUGAAAUAGAUCCUGAAACCGUGUGCAUACAAACAGUCGGAGCCUCUUCGUGGGGUGACGGCGUACCUUUUGUAUAAUGGGUCAGCGACUUACAUUCAGUGGCGAGGUUAACCGGAUAGGGGAGCCGUAGAGAAAUCGAGUCCGAACAGGGCGACAGUCGCUGGGUGUAGACCCGAAACCAAGUGAUCUACCCAUGGCCAGGAUGAAGGUGCGGUAACACGCCCUGGAGGUCCGAACCCACUAAUGUUGAAAAAUUAGGGGAUGAGCUGUGGGUAGGGGUGAAAGGCUAAACAAACUUGGAAAUAGCUGGUUCUCUCCGAAAACUAUUUAGGUAGUGCCUCAAGUAUCACCAUCGGGGGUAGAGCACUGUUAUGGCUAGGGGGUCAUUGCGACUUACCAAACCAUUGCAAACUCCGAAUACCGAUGAGUGCGAGCUUGGGAGACAGACAUCGGGUGCUAACGUCCGGUGUCAAGAGGGAAACAACCCAGACCGCCAGCUAAGGUCCCAAAGAUUGGCUAAGUGGAAAACGAAGUGGGAAGGCUAAAACAGUCAGGAUGUUGGCUUAGAAGCAGCCACCAUUUAAAGAAAGCGUAAUAGCUCACUGAUCGAGUCGUCCUGCGCGGAAGAUGUAACGGGGCUAAGCCAGUCACCGAAGCUGCGGAUCAUUCUUUUGAAUGAUGGUAGGAGAGCGUUCUGUAAGCCUGCGAAGGUGUCUUGUAAAGGAUGCUGGAGGUAUCAGAAGUGCGAAUGCUGACAUGAGUAGCGAUAAUGCGGGUGAAAAGCCCGCACGCCGUAAGCCCAAGGUUUCCUGUUCAACGUUCAUCGGAGCAGGGUGAGUCGGCCCCUAAGGCGAGGCAGAGAUGCGUAGCUGAUGGGAAGCAGGUUAAUAUUCCUGCACCGUCGUAUGAUGCGAUGGGGGGACGGAUCGCGGAAGGUUGUCUAGCUGUUGGAAUAGCUAGUUUUUGACUCAUAGAAGGUGCUUAGGCAAAUCCGGGUACGUAAUUCAAGGGGUUGAGACGAGCGGUCAUGCACCGCGAAGCAAUCGGAAGUGGUUCCAAGAAAAGCCUCUAAGCUUCAGUCAUACGAGACCGUACCGCAAACCGACACAGGUGGGCGAGAUGAGUAUUCUAAGGCGCUUGAGAGAACUCGGGAGAAGGAACUCGGCAAAUUGGUACCGUAACUUCGGGAUAAGGUACGCCCUAGUAGUUUGACCACUUUACUGUGGAAGGAUGAACGGGUUGCAAUAAAAUGGUGGCUGCGACUGUUUAAUAAAAACACAGCACUCUGCAAACACGAAAGUGGACGUAUAGGGUGUGACGCCUGCCCGGUGCUGGAAGAUUAAAUGAUGGGGUGCAAGCUCUUGAUUGAAGUCCCAGUAAACGGCGGCCGUAACUAUAACGGUCCUAAGGUAGCGAAAUUCCUUGUCGGGUAAGUUCCGACCUGCACGAAUGGCAUAAUGAUGGCGGCGCUGUCUCCAGCAGAGACUCAGUGAAAUCGAAAUCGCAGUGAAGAUGCUGUGUACCCGCGGCUAGACGGAAAGACCCCGUGAACCUUUACUGCAGCUUGACAUUGAACUUUGACCUUACUUGUGUAGGAUAGGUGGGAGGCUUUGAAGUAGGGACGCCAGUUCCUAUGGAGCCAUCCUUGAAAUACCACCCUGG
Molecule: ribosomal RNA, 2038 nt
Filed under: Oratosquilla oratoria
Lineage: Eukaryota; Metazoa; Arthropoda; Malacostraca; Stomatopoda; Squillidae
Description: bacterial LSU rRNA
Rfam family: Bacterial large subunit ribosomal RNA
Source: RNAcentral